Molecule: non-coding RNA, 645 nt
Organism: Camellia sinensis
Lineage: Eukaryota; Viridiplantae; Streptophyta; Magnoliopsida; Ericales; Theaceae
Source: RefSeq, a predicted model, not a curated record
GAACAAUUUUAAUGAGAUGACUAUUGUUAGCUUGUGUGGUGUUUUUGCAAUUACUGGAUUAACUUUGCAAUCUGAAAAUUAGGUUGAUGUUCACUUGUCAGAUUUGGACAAGAGCCAGCUUGCGUGAUGUCACUUUUUGCCUCCACAUACUUUUUGGCCCCUUACUACUGUCAGCAGCCUGAGUUUUGAUUACUUGCAAAACCAUUGAUUGACAAUUUAGAUGGGAAAUCUCUGUAUAACAGAAUUGAAUACAGCUGCCAGAGGUUAUUUUGCCCACUAGACACUCUUUGUCAACAUGUUACUUUUUUCCUGUUAUCAUUUACUAUAUAUGUAGUUCAAAUCUGGAGUAAUAUCCGUGUACUUUCCAUUAUAGACUAUACAUUGCAGAUGCUUGGAUUAUUAUUCUGAAGUUUAUUAAACCAUCUUCCAAGAAAUGAAAGCCAAGUCUUAAGAAACUGGGUGUUUAUCUGAAAACUCUUCUAUACUUGGUUUUUGUUUUAUCAUCUUUGCUCCAUUUAGUACUUUCUCCAUAGCUGAAAAGGGUUACCUACUAUUGUAUCCAUGAUAGCAUUGUAUUGGAAGUUCGGAUGUAAAUGGACCAAACUCAUUGUUUGGUUUAUAAUGCUAAAACCGUUUUUGAGCUUU